UUUGGUGAUUAUAGCCAGGGUGAAACACCUCUUCCCAUUCCGAACAGAGAAGUUAAGACCUUGUACGCCGAUGGUACUGCAUGCGCAGGUGUGUGGAAGAGUAGGUAGUUGCCAAAA
Molecule: ribosomal RNA, 117 nt
Filed under: Parcubacteria group bacterium CG2_30_36_21
Lineage: Bacteria
Source: RNAcentral